Molecule: long non-coding RNA, 367 nt
Organism: Oreochromis aureus
Lineage: Eukaryota; Metazoa; Chordata; Actinopteri; Cichliformes; Cichlidae
Exons: 3
Source: RefSeq, a predicted model, not a curated record
GCCACGCACUGAAGACUCGUCAGCCAACAUUAAACUGCAACUGUCUGAUAAAGCUGUGCUUUUGAUUUUUACUCCAUCGCAUGCGAUCCGAGCACCGAUGCCACAGACACCGCACAGCUGCUAAUUUCUUUGCGGGGAGUGGAUGAGAGCACGAGCGCUUUAGGAGUAUGUCUAAGAGGGGCGAGUCCUUUGGGAUUAGCCGCAUCGGCAGUAAGAUCAAAGAUCAUGGUGGCGUUGGUGGAGGAAGCCAUGAUGGUGCUGGAAGAUGACCCCCCUAUGGAGGCGGCCUCCACCCCGAGCACCCCGCGAAACCUCUCAGCCUGGAACAUCACAAUCCCGUACAUUGAUUUCUCGAUGACGACGUAAA